GCGCCUCUCUCUCCCUCCCGUAGCCGCACGUUGUUGCUUGCCGAUGGAAACGGCGCACACGCUGCUGUUUCUGCGACGCAACAUCCGCAAGGCUAUUUUGGAAAACGCCGCGACUCGACGCAUCCUUUGCCGGUUGUACGGAGAGGCACAUAUUUUGAUUAAGAGAAGUGAACGCGCUUCGACUACCAAAAGGAUUUUCUAAGGAGAAGUACGUGGUAGGAUCUCGAGUCUACAUUCCAACAUGACUGCCUGUGGCACAUGCAGAUGAUGAAGGCUCAUUGAUGACUUACAUUCCGCUGUGUUUGUUCUGAACAUUGUUGAGCUAGUCCAUGUGACUAUGCAAUUUGUAAGGUUUUAUUGUACCAUCUGGAUCAACGAUGUAGUAAUUUGAUACUAUUGCAAUGAUUACAUAUUUUGUAAUGUGUGUGCUAUCAGUGAUCCCGGGAAUAGCACUAUACACAGGUAUCUUGCCUUUAUUAAAAGGUAGGGUGCUACAGAAUGGUAUCAGAGCAUAGUGUUGCCUGUAGGAUCGAGACCCUAGGUUUGGAU
Lolium perenne is the source of this 549-nucleotide long non-coding RNA. RefSeq lists it as uncharacterized. Lineage: Eukaryota; Viridiplantae; Streptophyta; Magnoliopsida; Poales; Poaceae. The record is from RefSeq and is a predicted model, not a curated record.